UACGUAGGGUGCAGGUGUUGAUCGGAAUUACUGGGCGUAAAGCGUGCGCAGGCGGUCUUUUAAGUCAGGGGUGAAAUCCCCGGGCUUAACCUGGGAACUGCGUUUGAAACUGAAAGGCUAGAGUGUGGCAGAGGGGGGUGGAAUUCCACGUGUAGCAGUGAAAUGCGUAGAGAUGUGGAGGAACACCGAUGGCGAAGGCAGCCCCCUGGGCUAACACUGACGCUCAUGCACGAAAGCGUGGGGAGCAAACAGG
Molecule: ribosomal RNA, 253 nt
Filed under: uncultured bacterium
Lineage: Bacteria
Description: partial 16S ribosomal RNA
Rfam family: Bacterial small subunit ribosomal RNA
Source: RNAcentral